CCUACGGGUGGCAGCAGUGGGGAAUAUUGGGCAAUGGGCGCAAGCCUGACCCAGCAACGCCGCGUGAAGGAAGAAGGCCUUCGGGUUGUAAACCUCUUUUCUCAGGGACGAAGCAAGUGACGGUAACUGAGGAAUAAGCUACGGUAACUACGUGCCAGCAGCCGCGGUAAUACGUAGGGGGCAAGCGUUAUCCGGAUUUACUGGGAGUAAAGGGCGUGUAGGCGGGGACGCAAGUCAGAUGUGAAAGCCACGGGCUCAACCUGGGGACUGCAUUUGACACUGUGUGUCUUGAGUACUGGAGAGGCAGACGGAAUUCCAAGUGUAGCAGUGAAAUGCGUAGAUAUUAGGAGGAACACCAGUGGCGAAGGCGGUCUGCUGGACAGCAACUGACGCUGAGGCGCGAAAGCGUGGGGAGCAAACAGGAUUAGAUACCCUAGUAGUC
RNAcentral lists this ribosomal RNA (442 nucleotides) under uncultured bacterium. RNAcentral describes it as "partial 16S ribosomal RNA". It matches the Rfam family "Bacterial small subunit ribosomal RNA", at positions 338 to 795 of the family's 1533-position model. The record is from RNAcentral.